UAACGCGUAGGGACCUGCCGCUGAGUGGGGGAUAACGCCGGGAAACUGGCGCUAAUACCGCAUGUGGUCAUCGCCUUUCGAGGGGAUGAAGAAAGCAGCAAUGCGCUCGGUGAGGGACCUGCGUCCGAUUAGCUCGUUGGUGGGGUAACGGCCUACCAAGGCGACGAUCGGUAGCUGGUCUGAGAGGAUGGUCAGCCACACUGGGACUGAGACACGGCCCAG
This 222-nucleotide ribosomal RNA is filed under the name uncultured bacterium. RNAcentral's name for it is "partial 16S ribosomal RNA". It matches the Rfam family "Bacterial small subunit ribosomal RNA", at positions 111 to 334 of the family's 1533-position model. The record is from RNAcentral.